AUUGAACGCUGGCGGCAUGCCUUACACAUGCAAGUCGAACGGUAACAGGUCUUCGGAUGCUGACGAGUGGCGGACGGGUGAGUAAUACAUCGGAACGUGCCCGAUCGUGGGGGAUAACGAGGCGAAAGCUUUGCUAAUACCGCAUACGAUCUACGGACGAAAGCGGGGGAGCUUCGGACCUCGCUCGGACGGAGCGGCCGAGGGCAGAGUAGGUAGUGGGUGGGAUAAAAGUUUACGAAGCCGACGAUCUGUAGCUGGUCUGAGAGAAUGAUCAUCCACACUGGGACUGAGACACGGCCCAGGCUCCUACGGUAGGGAGCAGUGGGGAAUUUUAGACAAUGGGCGAAAGCCUGAUCCAGCCAUGCCGCGUGCAGGAUGGAGGCCUUGGGGUUGUAAAGUGCUUUUGUACGGAACGAAAAGCCUCUUUCUAAUACAGAGGGGUCAUGACGGUACCGUAAGAAUAAGCACCGGCUAACUACGUG
RNAcentral lists this ribosomal RNA (482 nucleotides) under uncultured bacterium. RNAcentral describes it as "partial 16S ribosomal RNA". It matches the Rfam family "Bacterial small subunit ribosomal RNA", at positions 30 to 507 of the family's 1533-position model. The record is from RNAcentral.